Pogoniulus pusillus (Red-fronted tinkerbird) is the source of this 411-nucleotide long non-coding RNA. RefSeq lists it as uncharacterized. The transcript is spliced from 3 exons. Lineage: Eukaryota; Metazoa; Chordata; Aves; Piciformes; Lybiidae. The record is from RefSeq and is a predicted model, not a curated record.
AGUCAUCAUCAUUUUUGCUACUCUGCUCUAUAGCUGCAAAAAUUUCAGCCACUACAAGUGACCACUCUGGAUGAAAGAAAAGCAAUGAAGUCUCAAGAUCCAUUCUCUUCUCCAAAAACAUGCAAGCAUACGAAAAUCAACACAGGAAUAUGUAAAGCCCCAGGACUAACAAACUAUCUUGCCACAGCUAAUACUGGGUCCUGAAGCACAGCACACUGGAGUCAAAGAGUCUCAUCAACUCAGCAGAGGAUCAGAACUGCUUAGAAGAGGCAGAUGAAGAGCAGCACAGUGAGAACAAACAGUGCCAAAACUGCAGUAGCUGCAUUAAGGGGAAUGGCAUUUUCAUUCUGCUGGACCAAUAAAUUCUGGUUUGCUCUAUUCCAAAAUUGUCCCCAUAAGAAUUAAUUUACU